RNAcentral lists this ribosomal RNA (465 nucleotides) under uncultured bacterium. RNAcentral's name for it is "partial 16S ribosomal RNA". It matches the Rfam family "Bacterial small subunit ribosomal RNA", at positions 28 to 507 of the family's 1533-position model. The record is from RNAcentral.
GACGAACGCUGGCGGCGUGCUUAACACAUGCCAGUCGAACGGAAAGGCCCCUUUGGGGGUCCUCGAGUGGCGAACGGGUGAGUAACACGUGAGUAACCUGCCCUUGACUUCGGGAUAACUUCAGGAAACUGGGGCUAAUACCGGAUAGGAAUCCUUGCUGCAUGGUGGGGGUUGGAAAGCUUCGGCGGUUUUGGAUGGACUCGCGGCUUAUCAGCUUGUUGGUGGGGUAGUGGCUUACCAAGGCUUUGACGGGUAGCCGGCCUGAGAGGGCGACCGGCCACAGUGGGACUGAGAUACGGCCCAGACUCCUACGGGAGGCAGCAGUGGGGAAUAUUGCACAAUGGGCGGAAGCCGGAUGCAGCAACGCCGCGGGCGGGAGGACGGCCUUCGGGUUGUAAACCGCGUUCAGCAGGGGCGAAGCUUGUGGUGACGGUACCUGCAGAAGAAGCACCGGCUAACUACGUG